Long non-coding RNA from Dipodomys ordii (Ord's kangaroo rat), 685 nucleotides. RefSeq lists it as uncharacterized. Lineage: Eukaryota; Metazoa; Chordata; Mammalia; Rodentia; Heteromyidae. The record is from RefSeq and is a predicted model, not a curated record. The transcript has 2 exons.
GCAGCGUGCCGCCUCCUGGCCAGGUCAGGAGGGAAAUGAUCCUGCGGGUUUUGUUCUUAAUUUAUUUCAUCCAAGUUCUCCAGACGUGGCCUCGGCCCUCGGAACAAUUAGGUUCACGUAAGGACUUCUGCCGCCAUGUGCAGCGUGGGGCCCCACGGGUCCCCUCCCUUCCCCACGGAGCCCUCCGCCCCGGGGGUCCCCGCCACAGCCCGGUCCCCGGGAGCCCCAUGAGCAACCUCACAGUGGUGUGCCGCUGGCACUCCACCCGCUGGGCACGGCUGCCCACCCUCAGGCCUGGCCUCGGAGGCGCAUGCCCUCUGAGUCCACCCCACCACGAGACCUGUCGGGCUGGGCACCGGGCAGGGCCUGUGUCGCUGUGGCUUGAGCUGCCCGAAGGCAUUUUGGGGACUUUAUUCUGAGUGGUGGGAGCGCCCUUUCCCCUGUGUCACGCUGGGCCCUGGGUGUCUCGUCCCCAGUGGUCCGGGGCCUCCACCUGAGACCACUGCGUCUUCGCACUGUCCUCCGAUGCUUUCCUUCUGGCUGUGCCCUGGCCUGCGCCCCCUGGUGGCCAGAUGCUGUGGCCACUGUUGCACCAUCCCGUUUUUUACAACGUUCAACUUCAGCAUUUUUACUAUGAUAAUGAACUUUCCCUCCAAAUUCUUCAAUAAAAAUAGCUUUUCAAGUU